This 1363-nucleotide ribosomal RNA is filed under the name metagenome. RNAcentral describes it as "bacterial SSU rRNA". It matches the Rfam family "Bacterial small subunit ribosomal RNA", at positions 50 to 1388 of the family's 1533-position model. The record is from RNAcentral.
AAUACAUGCAAGUCGAACGAGAAAGUUUCCGUCGGGGAGCGAGUAAAGUGGCGCACGGGUGAGUAACACGUAGGUGACCUGCCGUAUAGUGGGGGAUAACAGAGAGAAGUCUCUGCUAAUACCGCAUGAGCUAGACGAAUUUGAAAGUAGUCUAGGAAAGAUGGCCAAUGCGAAAGUAUGCUAUUGCUAUAUGAAGGGCCUGCGCACCAUUAGCUAGUUGGUAGAGUAACGGCCUACCAAGGCGAUUAUGGUUAGCCGGUCUGAGAGGAUGAUCGGCCACACUGGAACUGAGACACGGUCCAGACUCCUACGGGAGGCAGCAGUAGGGAAUCUUGCGCAAUGGGCGAAAGCCUGACGCAGCGAUGCCGCGUGAGUGAGGAAGGCCUUCGGGUUGUAAAGCUCUGUCCUAGGGGACAAAAAGAUGUAUAAAAAUAUUAUAUAUAUUGAUGGUACCUUAGAAGAAAGCACCGGCCAACUUCGUGCCAGCAGCCGCGGUAAUACGAAGGGUGCAAGCGUUGUUCGGAUUUAUUGGGCGUAAAGGGCGAGUAGGCGGAUUAUUAAGUCAGGUGUGAAAUCUCGGGGCCUAACCCCGAAACUGCGCCUGAAACUGGUAAUCUAGGAUCCCGGAGGGGAAAGGGGAAUUUCGCAUGUAGGAGUAAAAUCCGUAGAGAUGCGAAGGAACACCAGAGGCGAAGGCGCCUUUCUGGCCGGGAAUCGACGCUGAGGCGCGAAAGCGUGGGGAGCAAACAGGAUUAGAUACCCUGGUAGUCCACGCUGUAAACGAUGAGCACUAGUUAUUGGGUUGGAGACAAUUCAGUGACGUAGCAAACGCGAUAAGUGCUCCGCCUGGGGAGUACGGCCGCAAGGUUAAAACUCAAAGGAAUUGACGGGGGCCCGCACAAGCGGUGGAUUAUGUGGUUUAAUUCGAAACCACGCGAAGAACCUUACCUGGGUUUGAAAUCCCACGAACCUGCUAGAGAUAGCGGGGUGCUCUUCGGAGAAUGUGGUGACAGGUGCUGCAUGGCUGUCGUCAGCUCGUGUUGUGAAAUGUUGGGUUAAGUCUCGCAACGAGCGGAACCCUUGUCCUUAGUUGCCAGCAUUAAGUUGGGCACUCUAAGGAGACCGCCGGGGUUAACCCGGAGGAAGGUGGGGAUGACGUCAAGUCCUCAUGGCCCUUAUGUCCAGGGCUACACACGUAAUACAAUGGGUAGUACAAAGGGAUGCCAACCAGCGAUGGGGAGCUAAUCUCAAAAAACUACUCUCAGUCCGGAUUGAAGUCUGCAACUCGACUUCAUGAAGUUGGAAUCGCUAGUAAUCGCGGAUCAGCAACGCCGCGGUGAAUACGUUCCCGGGCCUUGUACGC